This 253-nucleotide ribosomal RNA is filed under the name uncultured bacterium. Its description in RNAcentral is "partial 16S ribosomal RNA". It matches the Rfam family "Bacterial small subunit ribosomal RNA", at positions 524 to 776 of the family's 1533-position model. The record is from RNAcentral.
UACGUAGGUGGCAAGCGUUGUCCGGAAUUAUUGGGUGUAAAGCGCGCGCAGGCGGCCUCUUAAGUCUGAUGUGAAAGCCCCCGGCUCAACCGGGGAGGGCCAUUGGAAACUGGGAGGCUUGAGUAUAGGAGAGAAGAGUGGGAUUCCACGUGUAGCGGUGAAAUGCGUAGAGAUGUGGAGGAACACCAGUGGCGAAGGCGACUCUUUGGCCUAUAACUGACGCUGAGGCGCGAAAGCGUGGGGAGCAAACAGG